This 497-nucleotide ribosomal RNA is filed under the name uncultured bacterium. RNAcentral's name for it is "partial 16S ribosomal RNA". It matches the Rfam family "Bacterial small subunit ribosomal RNA", at positions 28 to 507 of the family's 1533-position model. The record is from RNAcentral.
GAUGAACGCUGGCGGCGUGCCUAAUACAUGCAAGUCGAGCGAACAGACGAGGAGCUUGCUCCUCUGACGUUAGCGGCGGACGGGUGAGUAACACGUGGAUAACCUACCUAUAAGACUGGGAUAACUUCGGGAAACCGGAGCUAAUACCGGAUAAUAUAUUGAACCGCAUGGUUCAAUAGUGAAAGACGGUUUUGCUGUCACUUAUAGAUGGAUCCGCGCCGCAUUAGCUAGUUGGUAAGGUAACGGCUUACCAAGGCAACGAUGCGUAGCCGACCUGAGAGGGUGACCGGCCACACUGGAACUGAGACACGGUCCAGACUCCUACGGGAGGCAGCAGUAGGGAAUCUUCGGAAAUGGGCGAAAGCCUGACGGAGCAACGCCGCGUGAGUGAUGAAGGUCUUCGGAUCGUAAAACUCUGUUAUUAGGGAAGAACAAAUGUGUAAGUAACUAUGCACGUCUUGACGGUACCUAAUCAGAAAGCCACGGCUAACUACGUG